GCUAGAAGUCCAAGAUCCAGAUUCCAACAAGAGUUGCGAAGACUGCUGCUGUGUCCUGCUUGCCGUCUGCUGUACACGGUGGGGUGUCACUCCAGGAUGUUGCUUCGGACAUCUGCAACCAUCCCAGACAAGGACCAUGGUUUGUUUGAUGAUGACUGUGUGAUCGCUCUGUACUCUUACUGUGGCUCCC
This is a long non-coding RNA of Eubalaena glacialis (North Atlantic right whale), 190 nucleotides long. RefSeq lists it as uncharacterized. The record is from RefSeq and is a predicted model, not a curated record. NCBI's taxonomy places the organism in Eukaryota, Metazoa, Chordata, Mammalia, Artiodactyla, Balaenidae. The transcript is spliced from 3 exons.